CAACAGCUCACACUGAUUGAACAAUUAAUGUAUGAGAGUGUCUGGCUCGUUUGACCCUCACAGGGACCUUCAAGGGACCACUGUAACACAGUCUGCAGAUGACAACCUCCAGUUCCCCAUCACUGAGCUUAAGUAACCUGCUCAAGCAGCUGCUAUGCGAUAGAGCCUCGACCUGAACGCAGAUCUGGUUCCUCAAUAAGUGCUUUUUUCUCCACGUCACUCUGUGAAAGUAACCGACUGGGACUGCCUUGACCGGGACGAUGGCGGCAGAGGAGCAGAGAGAGGCUCAUGGCGCCUUAUUGCUGCCCGAAGAGAAACCUGCCCCUGACACAGGAGAGCCCCUGUGCUUCCUCGAUCUCACUUUACCUGAAAUAAAGCCACGCCGUGAACAAGCUUGAACUGAUAUUCUCCGUCGCGGUCGGCACCUCAGAGAGGGAGCAGAGGGAGCAUGUGUGCGCCCGGCUGCCCAGGGGACAGCUGGAAGCAGGUCAUUCCUUCCCCUCACACUUCCACCAGGCUUCACGUUUCUUUUGAAUAUCCUGCUUUCAGCUGCAACUUUCAUAUGCCUUUUUAAUUCUACUCCAUAAUGUAUCCAUAUCUUAGAAAAAUAGAAUUGAGGCCACACCCCUGCCAACAUGAUGAAUAGGAGUCACAUUUCCUGACCUCUUGGUUUUAUUUAAGCUGUUGGCUUUUGUGUCCUCUAAUUCCACAGGCUGCUUUGUGUUUUCAGAAAAGAAAAAAAAAAAAAAGAAAUCAGAACACAUG
Long non-coding RNA from Leopardus geoffroyi (Geoffroy's cat), 765 nucleotides. RefSeq lists it as uncharacterized. The record is from RefSeq and is a predicted model, not a curated record. The transcript is spliced from 2 exons. Lineage: Eukaryota; Metazoa; Chordata; Mammalia; Carnivora; Felidae.